Molecule: ribosomal RNA, 433 nt
Filed under: uncultured bacterium
Lineage: Bacteria
Description: partial 16S ribosomal RNA
Rfam family: Bacterial small subunit ribosomal RNA
Source: RNAcentral
GACGAACGCUGGCGGCAUGCCUAACACAUGCAAGUCGAACGAGACCUCCGGGUCUAGUGGCGCACGGGUGCGUAACACGGGGGAACCUACCCUUAGGUUCGCAAUACCUCCCCGAAAGGGGUGCUAAUACCGCAGAAUCUCUUCGGACCAAAGAUUUCUCGCGUUUGGAUGGGCCCGCGUUGGAUUAGCUGGUUGGUAGGGUAAAAGCCUACCAAGGCGACGAUCCAGAGCUGGUCGGAGAGGAUGAUCAGCUACACUGGGACUGAGACACGGCCCAGACUGCUACGGAAGGGAGGAGUGGGGAAUAUAGGACGAUGAGGGAAGGCGUGACAAAGCAAUGCCGGGGAAGUGAUGAAGGGCUUAGGGUUGUAAAGCUGUUUUACCCGGGAUGAUAAUGACAGUACCGGGAGAAUAAGCUCCGGCUAACUCCGUG